Molecule: ribosomal RNA, 527 nt
Filed under: Vishniacozyma victoriae
Lineage: Eukaryota; Fungi; Basidiomycota; Tremellomycetes; Tremellales; Bulleribasidiaceae
Description: eukaryotic LSU rRNA
Rfam family: 5.8S ribosomal RNA (bases 165-318)
Source: RNAcentral
UCCGUAGGUGAACCUGCGGAAGGAUCAUUAAUAGUGCCCUCUGAUGCAAAUCAUUGGGUUAGAUCUGCUCUCUUCGCAAGAAGAGGGUUUCCAUACACACCGUGAACUGUGGCUUCGGCCAUCACAAACUGUUAGUAAUGAAUGUAAUAUCAUAACAAAAACAAAACUUUUAACAACGGAUCUCUUGGCUCUCGCAUCGAUGAAGAACGCAGCGAAAUGCGAUAAGUAAUGUGAAUUGCAGAAUUCAGUGAAUCAUCGAAUCUUUGAACGCACCUUGCGCCCUUUGGUAUUCCGAAGGGCAUGCCUGUUUGAGUGUCAUGAAACCUCACCCCACUUGGGUUUUUGCCUGAGCGGUGGUGUAUUGGGUGUUGCCUUGCUAAAGGCUCGCCUUAAAGACAUAAGCACCUUGGAUGUAAUACGUUUCAUCCUUCUGGGUGGCUAAUAACCCCACAUAUUCAUGAUCUGGCCUCAAAUCAGGUAUGGUCUACCCGCUGAACUUAAGCAUAUCAAUAUNAAAGCGGAAGGAA